AUACUUUUCCAAGUCUGGGAUCAGGUCAUACUGCUUACCUCCCCUUUCUGCAUAGCACUCCUUGGACAGGUGGCCUGUAGGGGGCGCACAGAAAACUUGUUGUCAUGGUGACAAGGGACAAGAUAUCGAAGAUGGGACAUUGUACGGCAGAAACAUAAAGGCUGGAAAGCACUGUGAAUGUUGUGCUAUUUAUAGCCACUGGGAGAUUGGCUCCUGCCUUGACAUCAACAAUCUGAAGCAUCAUCCUACCCCGAGUUCCACAUCUUGCA
This is a long non-coding RNA of Haliotis rufescens (red abalone), 269 nucleotides long. RefSeq lists it as uncharacterized. Lineage: Eukaryota; Metazoa; Mollusca; Gastropoda; Lepetellida; Haliotidae. The transcript is spliced from 3 exons. The record is from RefSeq and is a predicted model, not a curated record.